UGUGUGUGUGUGUGUGUGUGUGUGUGUGUGUGUGUGUGUGUGUGUGUGUGUGUGUGUGUGAGAGAUGCUCAUGCGGAGCGACAGGCAGGUCAACAGGUCACCCUCUGGGACGUCUCAGGGCCCCGGUCGGUCCUGGCUCUCCGCCAAACUGUCUCCCUCACACACACACACACACGCACACACAAAGCCCGUACUGUACUACAUGAGUUACUCGUACUCAUCCAUAUUUUUGAAAGUUCUAUUCAAGUUGUUUGCUUUUCUAAAAACAAAUGAAUUCUGAAUUUUAACACUUUUUAAAAAUAUAUAUACAAAUAUUUAUAUACAUCUGCUCAUUUGACAGAUGCUAAACACUCAUCUUCUGUACAGUUGGAGCUUGAACGAGAUCAGAUCAGGUGAAGACGUCACAGACAUGAAACAAGAAACUUUUGAACGUUAUUCAUAUUUGAUAUUUUCCAGCCUUUAUGCGAGAGAGAGCACAGACGUGAUGAACGUGUCCGGGGGGGACGAGCGGCAGCAAAGGGCCGCAGGUCAGAAUCGAACCCGUGAUGUGAUCGGCUCGAGUGCAGCGAUGGAAAAGAUCUGCACUCCGUGGUGGUGGAGCAGCGGCAGCGGCAGCAGUCUGAUUUGGACGGAGUUUGGACCGAGCGGCACCAGUGAGGAGCUGCUCUCUGAUUGGCCCAACCACAGGAAGAAGAAGAAGACGACGACGACACAUCGGGACGUGAGGAGGAGGAUUCACCUCCGAGGCACAGAAGCGCCGGCAUCCCGUUUUACCCACAUUCAUCUGGGUCCCUGAACUGACCUGGUUCCAGUUCGAGGUAAAUAAAUAUUCUGAAUUUGAUUAAUAGUCAUAAUAUCGUUAUCAUUAUUUUUCCUCUGAUCUCACCGGUGAUGAACAUGUGACGAUCACAGCUUCACUGUAAAAACAUCAAAAGAUAAAACCCUGAGGUUCACUCACACCAUCUCACAUCCAGGGGGCGACGGUGAGUUUCCUCUCACACCAACUUUUUUAUAUUUCAGACUCUGAAAUUCAAAUAAAUCAAACUGAGAAAGAAAAUCAGAGCGACAGAGUCUAUACCGUUAUUGACGCCUUAAUUUUUCAAAUUAAUUUAUUGACGAGUAGUUGUUUCUGAAUCACCCACACAACUGUUUGCUAUUUUAAUGUGUUGUAUUUUAUUUAUUUUUAAACAUUAAAAUAGAAAAACGAUUAACAAACUUUUGUGUUUUGGUCCCAAAA
Scophthalmus maximus (turbot) is the source of this 1237-nucleotide long non-coding RNA. RefSeq lists it as uncharacterized. The record is from RefSeq and is a predicted model, not a curated record. The transcript is spliced from 3 exons. Lineage: Eukaryota; Metazoa; Chordata; Actinopteri; Pleuronectiformes; Scophthalmidae.